CAGUCGCCGCGGGAAUACGAACCGUGCGAACGUUAUUCGGAAUCACUGGGCUUAAAGCGCGUGUAGGCGGGCCGCCGCGUCGGCUGCUGAAAUCCCCCGGCUCAACCGGGGAACGGGCACCGAUACGGGCGGCCUCGAGGGGGGUAGGGGGGCCUGAAACUUCCGGUGGAGCGGUGAAAUGCGUUGAGAUCGGAAGGAACGCCCAUGGCGAAAGCGAGGCCCUGGACCCUUUCUGACGCUGAGACGCGAAAGCCAGGGGAGCGAACGGGAUUAGAUACCCCAGUAGUCCCUGUCUCUUAUA
This 301-nucleotide ribosomal RNA is filed under the name uncultured bacterium. RNAcentral describes it as "partial 16S ribosomal RNA". It matches the Rfam family "Bacterial small subunit ribosomal RNA", at positions 509 to 807 of the family's 1533-position model. The record is from RNAcentral.